GUGGGGAAUCUUGCGCAAUGGGCGAAAGCCUGACGCAGCCAUGCCGCGUGAAUGAUGAAAGUCUUAGGAUUGUAAAAUUCUUUCACCGGGGACGAUAAUGACGGUACCCGGAGAAGAAGCCCCGGCUAACUUCGUGCCAGCAGCCGCGGUAAUACGAAGGGGGCUAGCGUUGCUCGGAAUUACUGGGCGUAAAGGGCGCGUAGGCGGCGUGGUAAGUCAGAUGUGAAAUCCCGGGGCUCAACCCCGGAACUGCAUCCGAUACUGCCAUGCUUGAGGGUUGGAGAGGUAGCUGGAAUUCUCGGUGUAGCAGUGAAAUGCGUGGAUAUCGAGAGGAACACUCGUGGCGAAGGCGAGCUACUGGACAACAUCUGACGCUGAGGCUCGAAGGCCAGGGGAGCAAAAGGGAUUAGAUACCCGGGUAGUCC
This 425-nucleotide ribosomal RNA is filed under the name uncultured bacterium. RNAcentral's name for it is "partial 16S ribosomal RNA". It matches the Rfam family "Bacterial small subunit ribosomal RNA", at positions 354 to 796 of the family's 1533-position model. The record is from RNAcentral.